This 1361-nucleotide long non-coding RNA is filed under the name Aotus nancymaae (Ma's night monkey). RNAcentral's name for it is "lncRNA (ENSANAG00000038940.1)". The record is from RNAcentral. Lineage: Eukaryota; Metazoa; Chordata; Mammalia; Primates; Aotidae.
GAAACCACAACUAAGUUAUUUGAAUAUCUAAUAGAACACUUGUUUAGGUGUGGAGGUUAUUUGUGUAUUUUUUAUUUUCUGUUUUCAGCAUGUCUAGAACAUAAAAGUCAUUCUUCACCUAUUGCACUUAUUGAUGAAAAAUCUACAAAUGAUCAUUCAUCACUUCCACAAAAGAGUCUACCUCUGGCAAAAGAAGUACUAGAUCUAUGUUUUUCUGAUGAAUAUUUCUCUGAUAAAAGACCAGCAAAAGAGGAAAAACCAACAGAUGACCAAGAACCAGUAAAAAGAAUAAUCCAAAAGAAAGAAAAUAAAGAUCACUUUGAACUUGACUGCAUAGGACCAUCUAUUAAAUCAUCUUCCUCUUCAAUAAUUAAAAAAGCAUCUUUUGAACAUGGUAAAAAACAAGAGAAUGAUUUAGACCUUUUGAACGACUUUAUUAUGCUGCGAAAUAAAUAUAAGACUUGCACCUCAAAGACUGAAGUCAGAAACAGUGAUGAAAAACAUGAUAGCCAGUGCCAAGCAUUUUGCCUCCUUGAAGCAGCAGCUUCUCCUAUCUUAAAAAACCUUGUAUCCUUCUGUACUCUCCCUACUGCUAAUUGGAAAUUUGCCACUGUUAUUUUUGACCAAACAAGGUUUCUCUUAAAGGAACAAGAAAAAGUAGUAAGUGAUGCUGUUUACCAAGGUACAAAUGAUGAAAGAGAAAUGAUAUUCAAGCAUGCUGCUCUCUUACAUCUUCUGGUAACAGUUAGAGAUGUCCUUUUAACAUGCAGCUUGGACACAGCAUUGGUUCCAUACGGCUAGAUCGAAGAGGACAAGUAGAAGUUAACAGGAGCUAAAGCCUGGAGAAACAAGAAAGAGCCAACUCAUGGAGAGCCCUCUAAGCCACACAAAAGAAUUUCAGGGAUGCUACUGGAUUACAUUUAUCUUUCAAAAGGUUAAUUCUGAUGGCAAUAUAGAGAGUCAGUGGGAGGUCUGAAGAUGAGGAGGCAGAAAGAACAUAAGUCAGUCUCUAAGUUGCCCAUCAGUCUAGCAAUUUUAAUAUAAAAAUAGAAUAUGCACAUAUCUAAAACUCGAACAUAAACAUUAAAAUUUUUUAAAUUUAUUAUUUCAUUUAUUACCCAAAUAUUCAUUAAACACCUAAUCUACAUGAGUUACCAUGCCAGGUCCUCUAGUGCAGUAAUUUACAAAAUUCCAUGCAGCAGAAUCACAUGAAUAGCUUUUAAGACAUAGAAAUAAUUAGGACACAAUCUAGAUGUACUGAAUACGAACCUUCAAGGAUAAAUCUAUAUUUAAAACUGCCCUUAGUGAGCAUGAAUUAGGCACUGCUGUUUUAGCAGCUAUAUGAAUUAAAUAUGUAUAAA